GAUGAACGCUGGCGGCGUGCCUAAUACAUGCAAGUCGAGCGAACGGACGAGAAGCUGGCUUCUCUGAUGUUAGCGGCGGACGGGUGAGUAACACGUGGAUAACCUACCUAUAAGACUGGGAUAACUUCGGGAAACCGGAGCUAAUACCGGAUGAUAUUUUGAACCGCAUGGUUCAAAAGUGAAAGACGGUCUUGCUGUCACUUAUAGAUUGAUCCGCACGGCAUUAGCUAGUUGGUAAGGUAACGGCUUACCAAGGCAACGAUGCAUAGCCGACCUGAUAAGGAGAUCGGCCACACUGGAACUGAACCACGGUCCCGACUCACACGGAAGCAAACAGUCGGGCAUCUGCCGCAUUGGGCGAUAGAUCGACGGAGCAACGCCGCGCGAGUGAUAAUGGUAAUCGGAACGUAAGACUCUGUUAUUAGGGAAGAACAUAAGUGCAAGUAAAUGUGCAAAUCUUGACGGUACCUAAUCAGAAAGCCAAGGCUAACAACGUG
This 497-nucleotide ribosomal RNA is filed under the name uncultured bacterium. Its description in RNAcentral is "partial 16S ribosomal RNA". It matches the Rfam family "Bacterial small subunit ribosomal RNA", at positions 28 to 507 of the family's 1533-position model. The record is from RNAcentral.